This is a long non-coding RNA of Catharus ustulatus (Swainson's thrush), 905 nucleotides long. RefSeq lists it as uncharacterized. NCBI's taxonomy places the organism in Eukaryota, Metazoa, Chordata, Aves, Passeriformes, Turdidae. The transcript has 3 exons. The record is from RefSeq and is a predicted model, not a curated record.
GGUAUUUAGCACAGCAGGACUGUGCACUUUACAACUUCUGACUUGUGCUUUAGCUCAGUUUUUUAUUCCAACCAGCUACAGCUCUUUAUAAGUCCAUGUCUGCCUGUGCUGAACAGCACCACCAGUCCCAUCCUCCUGCUCUUGUGCUUGAGCACUUUUGUUUCUCUUGCAUUUACAAUUCCCAAGGGCACAAGUAACUCUGUCUUCAUGGUGGCAGAAGGCAUGAAUGCUUUAUCUCGACUUGUCUUCCCAGAAUUGCACUGUGUAAAACUCUUACCUUUCAAUGGCACACACUCCUUAGUUUACAGCUCCAGGAGCAGACUGUGCCCUGGUAUUUGUGCAGCACAGAGGCAGAAUCCCCACACUGGUCUGCAUUCCCUCUGGGUUUCUGGGUGUAGACAAUAGUUCACAGCCUUGUUCUUUCCAUGACCACAGGCAUUUCAAGACCCCUACAGGUAUCACCCACAGGCUGAAAUCUCACAGACCUUUUCUUAACAUUUCUUGAGUGACCAGCAAGGACAACUACUGAUUGUGGUUUCCUUCCUCUAAUUGGUGCAAAGUUUAAGAAAGGAUGCCAACAUCCAGGUGUAUUUAGCACUGACAAGCUAAAUCCUUGUUCUGUGAAGUCCGUCUGUUAAUCUGGCUUCGAUCCUCCUGUCACCUACUGCUGCUGAAUGUGGGAUGAACUGAUCCUUAUGUGCACUUGGAAGAUAAGACUUGGGUUUAAAUCUCAUUAUGCUGGUAAAACAGGGAUAGAUGCCCUAAGAAUGGAGCUACACAGGAUGAUACAUUUCUUGUAUUUGUGUGAUCUGAAGUGACCAUCGGAGUGAGGAAAAUAUCAACUGUCAGCUGGUUCAUAAAAGUUGGACAACGUCUGCCAUGCCUGACAAGAGUGGUACAGGAAA